Eupeodes corollae is the source of this 693-nucleotide long non-coding RNA. RefSeq lists it as uncharacterized. The transcript has 3 exons. NCBI's taxonomy places the organism in Eukaryota, Metazoa, Arthropoda, Insecta, Diptera, Syrphidae. The record is from RefSeq and is a predicted model, not a curated record.
UGCAAUUUUCCACGCAAUAUACGCAACGCGCAUUUUCUUGGCAACAGCACCCGCGUUACAUGUUUUCACACUUUAAAAAUAGCAUUAACAGGAGCUAAAUUCAGUUUUUCUAAGAAACUAAAAUUAGUUAUUAGUGGGUUUUUAAUUAAACAAUUUUGUGUAUAUUUAAAAUUAAAUUUUAAAAAACAAAAAAUAUUUAAAUUUAGAAUAAAAUAGCGUAAAACUUUCGAUUUCACGAACUGCAGUGUGCGGUCAAAAAGAGAAAUUUUGAAAACAAAAAUCGCUGUUUUUAAAUUUGGUAGGUGGGCGCUGCGUUGGUUUAUGUUGCUGCCAGUUAAUAAAGUCGGUGGGUGGAAAAUAUUUCACAAGAUGUCAUAACAAAUUUAUACGAUGUUGGAUUUUUCUUUAUAUUUGAAUUUGAGGGUAUUUUAUAUGAAAAGAAAAAUUGGCUACAAAUGAAGGCGACAACGACGACAACGAUGACGACCGACGACUUACGGUCCUUGAUGGUUAAAGUUUUGGUUUUGGUUUUAUAGGAGUUUUAUGGGAAUUUGUUUUUUUUUUGUAAUGGAAUAAACACAAAUAAAGUAGAAAACAUAAAAAAGAAUGAUUUUGUUUUUUUUUUUUUUUUUUUAAAGUAAAGAGAAUAAUUUAAAACCAGACGAAUCACCAAGAGUGAUGUUUGGUUAUGAA